GCUCCUGUGGCGCAAUCGGUUAGCGCGUCGUACUUAUACAGCAGUAUAGGCGCUCUUGCUUGAGCAAUGCGAAGGGCGUGGGUUCGAUCCCCACCAGGAGCA
This 102-nucleotide transfer RNA is filed under the name Branchiostoma floridae (Florida lancelet). It matches the Rfam family "tRNA". Rfam says of the family: Transfer RNA (tRNA) molecules are approximately 80 nucleotides in length. Lineage: Eukaryota; Metazoa; Chordata; Leptocardii; Amphioxiformes; Branchiostomatidae. The record is from Rfam by way of RNAcentral.